This is a non-coding RNA of Atractiella rhizophila, 87 nucleotides long. The record is from the annotation of a GenBank genome assembly. Lineage: Eukaryota; Fungi; Basidiomycota; Atractiellomycetes; Atractiellales; Hoehnelomycetaceae.
GGGCAAAUAGUUUAGUGGUAUAACGUUCGCUUUGCAUUUGAGUUGCAAGCUUGCGAAAGGCCGGGGGUUCGAUCCCCCCUUUGUCCA